UACGAAGGGGGCUAGCGUUGCUCGGAAUCACUGGGCGUAAAGCGCACGUAGGCGGACUCUUAAGUCGGUGGUGAAAUCCUGGAGCUCAACUCCAGAACUGCCUUUAAUACUGGCAAUCUCGAGUCCGAGAGAGGUGAGUGGAAUUCCGAGUGUAGAGGUGAAAUUCGUAGAUAUUCGGAGGAACACCAGUGGCGAAGGCGGGUCUCUGGGCCGAUACUGACGCUGAGGAGCGAAAGCGUGGGGAGCAAACAGG
RNAcentral lists this ribosomal RNA (253 nucleotides) under uncultured bacterium. RNAcentral describes it as "partial 16S ribosomal RNA". It matches the Rfam family "Bacterial small subunit ribosomal RNA", at positions 524 to 776 of the family's 1533-position model. The record is from RNAcentral.